GACGAACGCUGGCGGCGCGCCUAACACAUGCAAGUCGAACGAGAGAGAGGGAGCUUGCUUCUUCAAUCGAGUGGCGAACGGGUGAGUAACGCGUGAGGAACCUGCCUCAAAGAGGGGGACAACAGUUGGAAACGACUGCUAAUACCGCAUAAGCCCACGGCUCGGCAUCGAGCAGAGGGAAAAGGAGCAAUCCGCUUUGAGAUGGCCUCGCGUCCGAUUAGCUAGUUGGUGAGGUAAUGGCCCACCAAGGCAACGAUCGGUAGCCGGACUGAGAGGUUGAACGGCCACAUUGGGACUGAGACACGGCCCAGACUCCUACGGGAGGCAGCAGUGGGGAAUAUUGCACAAUGGGGGAAACCCUGAUGCAGCGACGCCGCGUGGAGGAAGAAGGUCUUCGGAUUGUAAACUCCUGUUGUUGAGGAAGAUAAUGACGGUACUC
Molecule: ribosomal RNA, 439 nt
Filed under: uncultured bacterium
Lineage: Bacteria
Description: bacterial SSU rRNA
Rfam family: Bacterial small subunit ribosomal RNA
Source: RNAcentral